AGAGUUUGAUCCUGGCUCAGAUUGAACGCUGGCGGCAGGCCUAACACAUGCAAGUCGAGCGAGAAAGGCCUUCGGGCUGAGUACAGCGGCGGACGGGUGAGUAACGCGUAGGAAUCUACCUGGUAGUGGGGGACAACAUGGGGAAACUCAUGCUAAUACCGCAUACGCCCUAUGGGGGAAAGCGGGGGACCUUCGGGCCUCGCGCUAUCAGAUGAGCCUGCGUAGGAUUAGCUUGUUAGUGAGGUAAAGGCUCACCAAGGCGACGAUCCUUAGCUGGUCUGAGAGGAUGAUCAGCCACACUGGGACUGAGACACGGCCCAGACUCCUACGGGAGGCAGCAGUGGGGAAUAUUGCGCAAUGGGCGAAAGCCUGACGCAGCCAUGCCGCGUGUGUGAAGAAGGCCUUCGGGUUGUAAAGCACUUUCAAUUGGGAAGAAAGGUUGCGUGUUAAUAGCACGUAGCUGUGACGUUACCUUUAGAAGAAGCACCGGCUAACUCCGUGCCAGCAGCCGCGGUAAUACGGAGGGUGCGAGCGUUAAUCGGAAUUACUGGGCGUAAAGCGCGCGUAGGCGGUUUGUUAAGUCGGAUGUGAAAGCCCCGGGCUCAACCUGGGAAUUGCAUUCGAUACUGGCCGACUAGAGUACGAGAGAGGGAGGUAGAAUUCCACGUGUAGCGGUGAAAUGCGUAGAUAUGUGGAGGAAUACCGGUGGCGAAGGCGGCCUCCUGGCUCGAUACUGACGCUGAGGUGCGAAAGCGUGGGUAGCAAACAGGAUUAGAUACCCUGGUAGUCCACGCCGUAAACGAUGUCUACUAGCCGUUGGGAGACUUGAUUUCU
RNAcentral lists this ribosomal RNA (834 nucleotides) under uncultured bacterium. RNAcentral's name for it is "bacterial SSU rRNA". It matches the Rfam family "Bacterial small subunit ribosomal RNA", at positions 8 to 840 of the family's 1533-position model. The record is from RNAcentral.